GGGCGUGUAGCUCAGUUGGGAGAGCACCUGGCUCGCACUCAGGAGGUCAGGGGUUCGAAUCCCCUCACGUCCA
RNAcentral lists this transfer RNA (73 nucleotides) under Syntrophaceticus schinkii. It matches the Rfam family "tRNA". Rfam says of the family: Transfer RNA (tRNA) molecules are approximately 80 nucleotides in length. Their secondary structure includes four short double-helical elements and three loops (D, anti-codon, and T loops). Further hydrogen bonds mediate the characteristic L-shaped molecular structure. tRNAs have two regions of fundamental functional importance: the anti-codon, which is responsible for specific mRNA codon recognition, and the 3' end, to which the tRNAs corresponding amino acid is attached (by aminoacyl-tRNA synthetases). tRNAs cope with the degeneracy of the genetic code in two manners: having more than one tRNA (with a specific anti-codon) for a particular amino acid; and 'wobble' base-pairing, i.e. permitting non-standard base-pairing at the 3rd anti-codon position. The record is from Rfam by way of RNAcentral. Lineage: Bacteria; Bacillati; Bacillota; Clostridia; Thermoanaerobacterales; Thermoanaerobacterales Family III. Incertae Sedis.